Lolium perenne is the source of this 1868-nucleotide non-coding RNA. Lineage: Eukaryota; Viridiplantae; Streptophyta; Magnoliopsida; Poales; Poaceae. The record is from RefSeq and is a predicted model, not a curated record.
CCUCCCCCUGGCUCUCUCCCCUCACUGGUUGCUUUGAUUAUUAGAACAAAGCGGAUGAGACGUAUUUGUGAAAAAUUCUUCUCACAGAUGAACAUGUUUGUUGAUGCCUAGACCUGAUGCAUAUGGUUUUCCUUUUGGACUUGGGUAUAUGGUCUAAAUUUCAUAGGAAGUCAUGUAGCAUUUUGCUUGGGUUCAUUUGAAUAUUCUAAAUUCAUCCGCGUGUUUUCUUUUGCCUGCACACUCUGUUAGUUUUUAUCUCUUUUUAUAAGUUACGAAAUUCUGUAUGAGGAGGCCAAUCAAGCAGCAAAUUUGGUAAAAUAUAAAUAGUCUCGCCUGGGUGAGGAACACUACGGGAUUCCACAACCCAUUUUCUUACUUUCACUUUUUAUAUACAAUUUUUGAGGAUUGAUUUGGAUCCUUGGUGCCUUCUCCUAAGGUUUGUAAUUUGUAAUUUGCUAUUUGAUUUUUCUUUUCGUAGGGUCUGUUAUUUCCACCUUGAUUCCCAUUUUCUAGGGUAUCAAACAUCACGUUGGUUAAUUGGUCGGCAAGAUAUGGCGUUUAUUGCUUCAGGUCCAAUUAAAAUGCUUCAGGUCCGACUGAAAUGUUUAUUGCUUCCAUUGGUCAAAUGCGUUGGUGGUCUUCGAGUAAUCGCGAGCCGUGGUCUGUCCAGAGAUCUCUGCAAGGAGCUGGUGGAAGGGUGCUCGUCUCUGGACAGCUCCUGCUUCUCCAUCUCCACGGUCUCUGGUGGCAUCACCAAGCUAUAUUGUCAUAUAACUUAAUGAAUGCACCACUGUAAGAUUGCUUGCUGGUACUAUUUAUCAAGGCGGGUGAUGGCGGCGGCAGCGGCCUCGGGUGGUGGAGGAUGGCGUCUGUCGAGGCACCAACAGGUGCAGCUUGUUGGUUGUGGCUUGGCAAGCGUCGUCUCGGCGAGUGCCGGUGCGGCUUCUUCUUUUUUCCUUCCGGUGAGCACCUUGUGCUGGGCACUGGAGUAUUGCAUGCCCUUUUUGGAUGAGAUUUGUGUAUCCACGUGCUGCUGCCCAUCUACAUGACUUGAGGUUGUCCCGUUUGUUCUAGCGGAGGCAGGUCUUCUGUGAGGAUUGUAGCUGCAGGAGAUAGGGUCAGUACACCAGAUUUCAGCAUCACAGUCAUUGUACUGGUUGCCGCAGUGAUGCUUCUCCGCACAGGUGCCGGUGGUUGCGACUGUCGACAAUUGUGUGUCAUACAACAUGUCCAUCACAUGUUUGAUCAGGCUGCCUCAGUGACGGUUAUGACCGUGGCGCAGGUCACUUAUUGCUGCAAUAGCUGGGGAGGUUGGAAAGGAGCGUGAAUUGUAUGGCCAGUCUCUUGUAAUCGUCCUCCCUAAACUUUGAUUUGAUAUUUCAGCAUCUGUUGUACUGCAAUUUAAUUAUAUAUAUUACACUUCAUACCUAAGUUGUGCAUGAAGUGAUAUUUCUUCAGCAAAAGUUACCUGACGGUAUUUAUUACAGUGUAUUUGACAUAUAAGGAACCUGAGUACAAAAUAAAAUGGCUGAUAUGUGGCAUGCAUCUAAGUUGUUAGAUGUUUCCAUUUUUUAGUUCCAUAGAUGAGAAGAUGCGACUCAGGACGUACUCCUUGGACACGAGACAGACGCGCGGCCGGGCCGCUUCAGCGCUGCCUGCAGCCUUGGGCAAGCUGAUACUGUCACCAGCGCAGGGCGGCGUGCGCUUGAGAUUCCACUCGAGAUCGACCGGAUUCGACCGGAUUUUGUAGUCAGUCGAGUUGUAGUGUUCAGGAAUCAGAUCUUGUGAGGUUGUUAAAUUUCAGAGAAGAUGUAAACUGGUAUGAGUUUCAGAAUUAUAUGGCCAUAUGCUCUGUAAUUUUAUCCUAA